RNAcentral lists this ribosomal RNA (253 nucleotides) under uncultured bacterium. RNAcentral's name for it is "partial 16S ribosomal RNA". It matches the Rfam family "Bacterial small subunit ribosomal RNA", at positions 524 to 776 of the family's 1533-position model. The record is from RNAcentral.
UACGUAGGGUGCAAGCGUUAAUCGGAAUUACUGGGCGUAAAGCGUGCGCGGGCGGUUUUGUAAGACUGUCGUGAAAUCCCCGGGCUUAACCUGGGAAUGGCGAUGGUGACUGCAAGGCUAGAGUUUGGCAGAGGGGGGUAGAAUUCCACGUGUAGCAGUGAAAUGCGUAGAGAUGUGGAGGAACACCGAUGGCGAAGGCAGCCCCCUGGGUCAAGACUGACGCUCAUGCACGAAAGCGUGGGGAGCAAACAGG